This 71-nucleotide ribosomal RNA is filed under the name uncultured bacterium. RNAcentral describes it as "partial 16S ribosomal RNA". The record is from RNAcentral.
GCCAUGGAAGUUGGGGUACCUAAAGUCGGUCACCGCAAGGAGCCGCCUAGGGUAAACCAAUGACUGGGGCU